Non-coding RNA from Lolium perenne, 880 nucleotides. The record is from RefSeq and is a predicted model, not a curated record. Lineage: Eukaryota; Viridiplantae; Streptophyta; Magnoliopsida; Poales; Poaceae.
CUGAUGUGAGAGUCUAUAAAAUUUGCACCACCAAAAUAUUUGUGCAUCUGUGCAAAAUUGUUGAAAAGUGAUAUUCAGUUGUUGCCUUCUAACACUUAACUAUUUGUUUGGCAGGUUCAGUCAUUUUUUACAUCACUGGGAGCAUUGUCUCGUAAACAAUUUCAUGAUGGCUCAUAUGAAACGACUGAGCAGGCAAAUGCUAAAUGAUAACCACUCACUCAAUGAUAACCAAACACCAGUUUGGAGUUGUUGUGGUUAUCACCAAUCAAGUAGUGGCACAAGUGGAUGGGUCUGCGAUGUUUGCUGGGCCACAAGUGGAUUUCUUGUAUACUGAAUUUGAAUCAUGAAGAUGAAGGAUAAGAAGAGGCGAUGUCUUCGACUGGUUGGAGAGCCAACCUGGGCGUCAAAGAAGAGGCGGCAGACCAAUGAGGCAGAUCACGGGGCGUCGGCGAGGCGGCAGACCUCGGGGCAUCGGUGUUGGCAACCAGUGUUAUCACGGGGCAUCGGCGAGGCGGCAGACCUCGGGCGUCGGCGAGGCGGCAGACCUCGGGGCGUCGGUGUUGGCAACCAGUGUUUGCCAAGAAGGCAGACGUCGGAGAAGAGAUGGCAGACCACUGGGCGGCGAGGUGGUUGCCGUACGGAAGGCAUCGGAGAAGAGAUGGCAGCGUAAGAGUGAGAAGAGACGGCAGCGUGAGGGGAGAGAUGAUUUCCUAUUCCGCCCAGCUGAUUCAUAGGGAUACGUCUGGGCUGAUUGGUUUCCUUGUACGUCUGCGCUGAUUGGUUUCCUUGUAUGUCUAGGCUGAUUUUUUUCCUUGUAUGUCUCGGCUGAUAGCUGAUUGACUGCUGGAUUGCAUGCUGAUUGAUUGCUGGAUUCCUUGUA